This 565-nucleotide ribosomal RNA is filed under the name bacterium amp-w-60. RNAcentral describes it as "bacterial SSU rRNA". It matches the Rfam family "Bacterial small subunit ribosomal RNA", at positions 54 to 616 of the family's 1533-position model. The record is from RNAcentral.
CAUGCAGUCGACGGCAGCACGGACUUCGGUCUGGUGGCGAGUGGCGAACGGGUGAGUAAUACAUCGGAACGUGCCCCGUUGUGGGGGAUAACUACUCGAAAGAGUAGCUAAUACCGCAUGAGAACUGAGGUUGAAAGCAGGGGAUCGUAAGACCUUGCGCAACUGGAGCGGCCGAUGGCAGAUUAGGUAGUUGGUGGGAUAAAAGCUUACCAAGCCGACGAUCUGUAGCUGGUCUGAGAGGACGACCAGCCACACUGGGACUGAGACACGGCCCAGACUCCUACGGGAGGCAGCAGUGGGGAAUUUUGGACAAUGGGCGAAAGCCUGAUCCAGCAAUGCCGCGUGCAGGAUGAAGGCCCUCGGGUUGUAAACUGCUUUUGUACGGAACGAAAAGCUUCUGGUUAAUACCUGGGAGUCAUGACGGUACCGUAAGAAUAAGCACCGGCUAACUACGUGCCAGCAGCCGCGGUAAUACGUAGGGUGCAAGCGUUAAUCGGAAUUACUGGGCGUAAAGCGUGCGCCGGCGGUCUUGUAAGACAGAGGUGAAAUCCCCGGGCUCAACCUG